GCUUCCUCUUCUUCCUCCUUCAGGCCAGCGUAGAAGAUGGGCCGCCGCCACCGCCGCAGCAAGCGGCGCGCCGCAGGCGGAGCGAGUCGGCGGCGGCGGCAACGCGGAGCAAAAGCAUCACGGUGGUCGGAGACAGCGGGCGAGAAGAGAGAGGCAGGAGAGAAGAUACAAAGACCGUGAGCGAGUGCCGAGACCAGCCUGGAGAGCGCGAGCGCCCGGGCUGCGGCCAGCGUGGGCUCAGCGGGCGUGGAGUGCGGGCGUGGACCUACAGGAGGGGUACCAGCCCUUGCGAGCAGCAGCGGGCCGCCGGGAUAUCUGCACGGUGGCCAGAGCGGUCAAUCAAUCUCAGCUCCGCACUGCCGCCCCGCCCCACUCUGCACCCGCCAAUCCGCUCUGCUCCAUGCCCCCAGGCAGCACCCCUUUCUUCCCUUCCCAUUGGCUGCGAGCGCGCGUCUGCCGGGCCCAGCCCGCCACUCUCAGGGCUCAAAGCGUCCGCCCCCGUUCUACCUCCGGCCUCUCGCCUCCCGCCCGCUGUGUGUAAUUCGAGUUCCGCGUCCGCAGGCUGCGGGUCCUUUUUUCGGCUCCCUGGUCGGCUUCCCUCUUGCUCGGUUUUCCUUUCUCUCCUCUACCCACUUCCUCUAUUUACUGUUUCCCUGCUCCCAAGUAGAACUGCUGACAGCCACUCUCCCUCUUGCUGGAGUUACAAGGGAACAGCCCUUAACCUCCCUUCGAAUUAAUGUGAUCGGGUUCAGCUUCCUCCACGUUUUUGGUGGUUUGUUUUUAAUCCCUCCCCACCCGAUUCUUCCACGUCCUACCCCAGCCGAUUCCAGCUUCAGAUCCUGGGCUGAAGCCGGUUCUUUAAUCUCGUGCUGUGCAGCAGGUCCCCUCUCAGUCAACAACACCUGCGGAACCUCUUAAGCUUGUUGAGGACGCUUGGUAAAUCAAGCACCGAACCGAACCGCGUUGGAAAUCUGCUCUGCGGUCAGAAGCAGAUCAGAUAGGCCAGGAAGGUACUGGCGAACUCCCGGGAAUUAGCAGGCGACUGAGUGAAAAGCUUACAAUGUUCUGGUUUCUUUGACAUUUCCCUGCCUGGAAGCGGCGAGGAGGGUCUGAGAGUGGAUGGACUUCAAUGUGUGCGGUUACAGUGUAGUUAGAUUAAUGAGAAUGAGGGCGUCCUGGAGUCACUGCAAAUCCUGAUACCGCGAAACAACUGUUCUUCAGAGGAAAAACUUCAUCUCCUCUAAGGAAGGAAAGAUGAGACCAGAACAUACUUUCAGGGGACCUAGCAAAGCAUACCACGCAUGAACGUGCAAAUGGAUAGAAUUAAAACACACGAGAGAAACAUUAAAGGACUCUAAACAAGAUGCGGUUUCAUUUCCUGAACUUAAACGUGACGUCUUAACUGUUCCCCAGUUACUACAUCUCCAUUUCCAGAAAUCUAACAGGAGUAUCUCGGUUUUCUUAAUGGAUCGCCUAGGGCAGAGGAACCAGGAAUCAGACCCACAGUUGCGAUUUAUGCAACCUAUUGUAGGGUAAGGGCUCCUCGGCUGCCUCCCGGUCCACUGUGUGCGAAAAGCAGUGGCUGAAAUAGCCAAG
Molecule: long non-coding RNA, 1596 nt
Organism: Marmota monax (woodchuck)
Lineage: Eukaryota; Metazoa; Chordata; Mammalia; Rodentia; Sciuridae
Exons: 3
Source: RefSeq, a predicted model, not a curated record